GGGCCCGUAGCUCAGUCCGGUCAGAGCGACAGGCUCAUAACCUGUUGGUCAUGGGUUCAAAUCCCACCGGGCCCACCA
This 78-nucleotide transfer RNA is filed under the name Candidatus Bathyarchaeota archaeon. RNAcentral describes it as "tRNA-Ile". It matches the Rfam family "tRNA". Rfam says of the family: Transfer RNA (tRNA) molecules are approximately 80 nucleotides in length. Their secondary structure includes four short double-helical elements and three loops (D, anti-codon, and T loops). Lineage: Archaea; Thermoproteati; Candidatus Bathyarchaeota. RNAcentral also lists the same sequence under 1 other name. The record is from RNAcentral.